RNAcentral lists this non-coding RNA (24 nucleotides) under Cricetulus griseus (Chinese hamster). The record is from RNAcentral. Lineage: Eukaryota; Metazoa; Chordata; Mammalia; Rodentia; Cricetidae.
GUAAUUUAAUGCCUGGCUGUGACU